UCCUCCUUAGCUCAGUCGGUAGAGCGCGUGACUGUUAAUCACGAUGCCGUUGGUUCAAGUCCAACAGGGGGAGCCA
Molecule: transfer RNA, 76 nt
Filed under: [Eubacterium] siraeum
Lineage: Bacteria; Bacillati; Bacillota; Clostridia; Eubacteriales; Oscillospiraceae
Also listed under: 6 other names
Description: tRNA-Asn(gtt)
Rfam family: tRNA
About the family: Transfer RNA (tRNA) molecules are approximately 80 nucleotides in length. Their secondary structure includes four short double-helical elements and three loops (D, anti-codon, and T loops).
Source: RNAcentral